CACAUGAAUCAGUCAAGGGUGUACAUGUGUUCCCCAUCCUGAACCCCCCUCCCCAUCCCAUCCCAGUGCACCAGCCCUGAGCACCCUGUCUCAUGGAUCUAACCUGGACAGAUUUCUGCUAAGAGAAAUGAGAGACUAGUCCUGACCCCAGAACUAGCACAGAGCACCGAGAGAGGCUCAGGAUCAAGAGAACAAGAAGAAAAACAGAAGUUCAACUAGUGUUUCACAUCUGGCAUCACCCUGGAAGAACCUUCACGGGACUGGGGGAUCCUGAGGACCAAGGCUCUCACCAGGCAGACUCCCAGCUCAAGGAGGUGGCACUAGUAAGGAGCCUGCCUGCAAAUGCAGGAGACGUAAGAGAUUCGGGUUCGAUCCCUGGGUCAAGAAGAUCCCCUGGAGAAGGGCAUGGCAACUCACUCUAGUAUUCUUGCCCGGAGAGUCCCGUGAAGAGAGAACCUGGAGGGCUGUAGUCCACGGAGUUGCAAAGAGUCAGACACAACUGACGCUACUGAGCAUGCUUGUUUCUCCUUGCAGCACAAAAGCUGGUAGAAUGAAGUGGGUGUAAGAGUUAAUGUCCAAAGGUGGAAAUCAAGGUGAUAUGGAGCCCAUCAUUUCAAAAUAAUCAUCAGGUUUGCUAUGUUCAAUUAAGGAAAUCCUAGCCUUAAAAAGCUUGGCAAGGCUAGUCCUAGGAGGAUGCUAUAUGUUCAGGAACCCAUGUGACUGAUGCAAGGGGAAAUGGACACACAAAGGAAAGCCUUCCUGCCUCUACUGUGAGUCUUAGAACCACAAACAGGGAGAAAAGGGCACCACACUGAGCACCACUCCUCAGGUGCUCAGCCAGUCACUCUAUGCAUGUCAUUCCCUGCAGCCCUUACAGCAACCUUGUAAGAACUUAUUUUGCUAUUAACGGUACUGAGGUUCACAGCCCAGACUCCCAGCUAGUAAGUGGCAGAGCCGUGACCUGAAUCCAGAUCUCUCCAUCACUGAACCUCCCCACUAUUCAACUCCAUGUCACCAGAACGGGGAUCCUUCUGUCGCUCGGUUACACAGAGGAUGAAAGAGUACUAAUGACUCCAGGUGUCUGCAGAGCCUCAGAAUCCAAAAUCCAUCCAUCCAUUCACUCGACGACCACUAAGCAUCUUCUAUGUGCUGGGCACUGUCCCAGAUGCUGGCAACGUAGCAGUGAACAAAGACAAAGCCUAUGGUUUGCGUUCAAGAUAAAGAAUAAACAAUCUUAG
Long non-coding RNA from Bos taurus (domestic cattle), 1238 nucleotides. Lineage: Eukaryota; Metazoa; Chordata; Mammalia; Artiodactyla; Bovidae. The record is from Ensembl.